CCGCAACGAGCGCAACCCUUGUCGUUAAUUGCCAUCAUUUAGUUGGGCACUUUAACGAGACUGCCGGUGACAAACCGGAGGAAGGUGGGGAUGACGUCAAGUCCUCAUGGCCCUUAUGGGUAGGGCUUCACACGUCAUACAAUGGUCGGUACAGAGGGUUGCCAAGCCGCGAGGUGGAGCCAAUCCCAGAAAGCCGAUCGUAGUCCGGAUUGCAGGCUGCAACUCGCCUGCAUGAAGUCGGAAUCGCUAGUAAUCGCGGAUCAGCAUGUCGCGGUGAAUACGUUCCCGGGUCUUGUACACACCGCCCGUCACACCAUGGGAGCGGGUUCCGCCAGAAGUAGGUAGCCUAACCGCAAGGGGGGCGCUUACCACGGCGGGGUUCGUGAGUGGGGUGAAGUCGUAACAAGGUAACCGU
This 415-nucleotide ribosomal RNA is filed under the name uncultured bacterium. RNAcentral describes it as "bacterial SSU rRNA". It matches the Rfam family "Bacterial small subunit ribosomal RNA", at positions 1087 to 1503 of the family's 1533-position model. The record is from RNAcentral.